RNAcentral lists this ribosomal RNA (265 nucleotides) under uncultured bacterium. RNAcentral describes it as "partial 16S ribosomal RNA". It matches the Rfam family "Bacterial small subunit ribosomal RNA", at positions 89 to 354 of the family's 1533-position model. The record is from RNAcentral.
UUCUUAGUGGCGGACGGGUGAGUAACGCGUGGAUAACCUGGCCCAUACAGGGGGAUAGCAGCUGGAAACGGCUGGUAAUACCGCAUAAGCGCACGGUACGGCAUCGUACAGUGUGAAAAACUCCGGUGGUAUGGGAUGGGUCCGCGUCUGAUUAGGCAGUUGGCGGGGUAAAGGCCCACCAAACCGACGAUCAGUAGCCGGCCUGAGAGGGUGGGCGGCCACAUUGGGACUGAGACACGGCCCAAACUCCUACGGGAGGCAGCAG